GAAUUCAAAUAACUUAAAAUACAGAACUUUCAACGUUCAUACAUUCAAAGCCAAUUUUUACCAAAGAAUCAGCCUGAACAUUAUCAAUGGCAAUGGGUCGAACCAUCAAUCUCCAGGUACCAUCUCUUCAACUUGGCAAGGUUUUGUUUUGUUUUGUUUUGUUUUAGGACUUUGUUAAUCUGAAAGAGAACAAAAGGUAAAGACUUGGACUCAAUCACACACGCAUGAAAUGAAAGGGUUGCUUAUGUUGAGAUCAAACUUUUGAGAAGCCUACAUGGUUGCUUUAAGUCUGAAGCUUUGUUUUUUAGCUCUUGAUCUCAGCAGUGCCUCCAAAUGCUUGUCGCUAAGACGUGUUGGGGGCAAUUAACCAUAUGUCUCAUAUGCGUUAGAGAAUAAGAACGCCAUCCUCAUGGACGAAGUACUGAAACUCCUCAAGGCAAAUGACCUGCUGCCUCUACAACCCGGACAUAAACCCUGAUGAGAAGAAGUCAGCACUUGAGGCUGAACUCAAGAAGCUGGUUAACGAGUGGCCGCUGUAUGUUCUGAAAGCAUCAAAACAAAGAAGAUAACAAUAUAGAAUUUUUCUUUUGAAAUGAAUUCAUUUUGUUCAUACUGGAAACCAAAAGAUUAUAACC
This is a long non-coding RNA of Raphanus sativus (radish), 635 nucleotides long. RefSeq lists it as uncharacterized. The transcript has 4 exons. Lineage: Eukaryota; Viridiplantae; Streptophyta; Magnoliopsida; Brassicales; Brassicaceae. The record is from RefSeq and is a predicted model, not a curated record.